CAGGCGUUUGUCCAGGGAGAAGGUGAGUCUGCCCUUCCGGAAGCCACGCUUCAGGGCUGAAAGAGCUACCUCCUGACUCAGGCUCCGGACCUCCAGCGUAGCCCUGUUGAAGCGGGUAAGAUAAUCCCGCAGGCUUUCUCCCUCGUUUUGCCGGACAUCAAAGAGGGAGUCGGAGACCAGUCGCCGCCGGCUACUGACGGCGAAAUGAGUGACGAAGAGGCGAGUGAACUGGUCGAAGGACCGGAUUGAGUCAG
Molecule: long non-coding RNA, 254 nt
Filed under: Phoenix dactylifera (date palm)
Lineage: Eukaryota; Viridiplantae; Streptophyta; Magnoliopsida; Arecales; Arecaceae
Description: long non-coding RNA (PDAC_LNC009307)
Source: RNAcentral